RNAcentral lists this ribosomal RNA (490 nucleotides) under uncultured bacterium. RNAcentral describes it as "partial 16S ribosomal RNA". It matches the Rfam family "Bacterial small subunit ribosomal RNA", at positions 30 to 507 of the family's 1533-position model. The record is from RNAcentral.
AUUGAACGCUGGCGGCAGGCCUAACACAUGCAAGUCGAACGGUAACAGGAAGACGCUUGCUUCUUUGCUGACGCGUGGCGGACGGGUGAGUAAUGUCUGGGAAACUGCCUGAUGGAGGGGGAUAACUACUGGAAACGGUAGCUAAUACCGCAUAACGUCGCAAGACCAAAGAGGGGGACCUUCGGGCCUCUUGCCAUCGUAUGUGCCCCGAUGGGAUUAGCUAGUAGGUGGGGUAACGGCUCACCUAGGCGACGAUCCCUAGCUGGUCUGAGAGGAUGACCAGCCACACUGGAACUGAGACACGGUCCAGACUCCUACGGGAGGCAGCAGUGGGGAAUAUUGCACAAUGGGCGCAAGCCUGAUGCAGCCAUGCCGCGUGUAUGAAGAAGGCCUUCGGGUUGUAAAGUACUUUCAGCGGGGAGGAAGGGAGUAAAGUUAAUACCUUGGCUAAUUGACGUUACCCGCAGAAGAAGCACCGGCUAACUCCGUG